AAGUCGUAACAAGGUUUCCGUAGGUGAACCUGCGGAAGGAUCAUUAACACGUUCCACGUAUCAACCCGAGCACUCGUUUUUACUCUGAUUAAGCUCCAGUUUAGCACCCUACAAACCUCGCAUUUCAGUCCGCAAACGAUAAGGAAACAGACUGAUCAAGUCUGGCGGCUGGCGAUUUGGUAUAGUCUCCUCUGCAUGCAGAGGAGAAAGGGCUCUGGAUGUCUGGUCAUGCUUCUAUUCCUUGUCGAUCUUUCACAAUCAUUUACCCCAUUCCAAAACGUACUAAUUUAUAUUUCUUUCUUAAGAAAUUGGAACACUUUCUGCUGCUUUACCGCAGUCGGGAGCGCUCUAACCAACUAAGAAAAACCUUAAGAACAACUCUUAACAACGGAUAUCUUGGCUCUC
Molecule: unclassified non-coding RNA, 405 nt
Filed under: fungal sp.
Lineage: Eukaryota; Fungi
Description: partial internal transcribed spacer region
Rfam family: Eukaryotic small subunit ribosomal RNA (bases 1-46)
Source: RNAcentral